Molecule: unclassified non-coding RNA, 400 nt
Filed under: uncultured Chytridiomycota
Lineage: Eukaryota; Fungi; Chytridiomycota
Description: sequence contains ITS1
Rfam family: 5.8S ribosomal RNA (bases 1-101)
Source: RNAcentral
GAAAUGCGAUACGUAAUGUGAAUUGCAGAAUCUCGUGAAUCAUCAAAUCUUUGAACGCACAUUGCACUCUAUUUUUAUAGAGUAUGCCUGUUUGAGAAUCUAUAGUAUUCAUUUUAUAUUCUAGGUAACUUUUUGUUAUUUAGAGUAUAGAGAUAUGAAGUCUCCUAUAAUUAUUUAUAGGUACUUUGAAAACUAUAGCUUUUUAUAUUAUAGAAAUGUUUGAGUUUUUAUAUAUAACUAGUAGAAAAGUAUUCGAAUGAAACCUAGUUUCUCCUUAUGCUGACUAUACUUGUUGUUGUAUAAUUAUUAGUGACUAUGAUAUAUAAAAGUUCAUAAACCAUAUAAAGUUUUAGUGUAAACUAUUACUUUGAACCAUGGUCUCAAAUCAGGUAGGAAGACC